RNAcentral lists this small nucleolar RNA (85 nucleotides) under Echinops telfairi (small Madagascar hedgehog). RNAcentral describes it as "Small nucleolar RNA SNORA61 (ENSETEG00000026103.1)". Lineage: Eukaryota; Metazoa; Chordata; Mammalia; Afrosoricida; Tenrecidae. The record is from RNAcentral.
ACCUUCCAGAUUUCUUACCAAUCUGAUCUAAAACUGGACUGUGUGGUUGUAAAAGGAUAAAAAGUAAAACUGAAAUCUGACAAAU